RNAcentral lists this ribosomal RNA (304 nucleotides) under uncultured bacterium. RNAcentral's name for it is "partial 16S ribosomal RNA". It matches the Rfam family "Bacterial small subunit ribosomal RNA", at positions 509 to 809 of the family's 1533-position model. The record is from RNAcentral.
CAGCAGCCGCCACGGUAACACGGAGGGUGCAAGCGUUAAUCGGAAUUACUGGGCGUAAAGCGCACGCAGGCGGUCUGUCAAGUCAGAUGUGAAAUCCCCGGGCUUAACCUGGGAACUGCAUUUGAAACUGGCAGGCUAGAGUCUUGUAGAGGGGGGUAGAAUUCCAGGUGUAGCGGUGAAAUGCGUAGAGAUCUGGAGGAAUACCGGUGGCGAAGGCGGCCCCCUGGACAAAGACUGACGCUCAGGUGCGAAAGCGUGGGGAGCAAACAGGAUUAGAUACCCGGGUAGUCCCUGUCUCUUAUAA